RNAcentral lists this transfer RNA (72 nucleotides) under Trichonephila clavata. It matches the Rfam family "tRNA". Rfam says of the family: Transfer RNA (tRNA) molecules are approximately 80 nucleotides in length. Their secondary structure includes four short double-helical elements and three loops (D, anti-codon, and T loops). The record is from Rfam by way of RNAcentral. Lineage: Eukaryota; Metazoa; Arthropoda; Arachnida; Araneae; Nephilidae.
GUCCCUGUAGCGCAAUGGAUAGCGCGUUGGACUUCUAAUCCAAAGGUCGUGGAUUCAUUCCCUCCUGGGAUG